AUUGUUUGUCAUUCGUCAAGCGUGUCUCAUCAAUAGGGUAAUAAAAUUGUAUUUCCAAAACAUAGGAUUACCAGUACUUUCUCCGGUUUCACAUCAUGACGACAAAAUGUGUUUUAUCCAUCACAACAUUUCUUUUUGCUAUUGCGUUUUGUGAAGGAUAUCCCUAUUACCCUUCAUAUGAAUAUUUGUCAGAACCUGGAAAUCCCGAGACCAAAGUAGUUAUGUUGGAUCCUCUCAUUGAAGCCCGUCAAAUGAUGCAAGCAGAGCCUACAGAUGGACAGGGGUUUUCUCGAGUCAAUCGCGGACCUUUUGGGGUAAACUCAAAUGGAUGAGGAUUAUUCAGUAGAGAAUUAACUAGUUAAUAUACGUGUGAAUAAUUUUUCAAAUCAGAUAAAUGUUAAAAUGAUUAAAACAAUUAAAAAGAAUUUGUCAAUGCAAAAUAUAUAUAUAUAUAUGAAGUACUGUU
Mytilus californianus (California mussel) is the source of this 466-nucleotide long non-coding RNA. RefSeq lists it as uncharacterized. NCBI's taxonomy places the organism in Eukaryota, Metazoa, Mollusca, Bivalvia, Mytilida, Mytilidae. The transcript has 3 exons. The record is from RefSeq and is a predicted model, not a curated record.